Molecule: ribosomal RNA, 204 nt
Filed under: uncultured Rhodocyclaceae bacterium
Lineage: Bacteria; Pseudomonadati; Pseudomonadota; Betaproteobacteria; Rhodocyclales; Rhodocyclaceae
Description: partial 16S ribosomal RNA
Rfam family: Bacterial small subunit ribosomal RNA
Source: RNAcentral
GUGACGUCAAGUCCUCAUGGCCCUUAUGGGUAGGGCUUCACACGUCAUACAAUGGUCGGUACAGAGGGUUGCCAACCCGCGAGGGGGAGCUAAUCCCACAAAGCCGAUCGUAGUCCGGAUCGCAGUCUGCAACUCGACUGCGUGAAGUUGGAAUCGCUAGUAAUCGUGAAUCAGAAUGUCACGGUGAAUACGUUCCCGGGCCUU